GCCUACGGCCACGCCACCCUGAAAACUCCUGAUAUCAUCUGAUCUCGGAAGCUAAGCAGUGUCGGGCUCAGUUAGUACUUGGAUAGGAGACCACCUGGGAAUCCCGGGUGCUAUACUUG
RNAcentral lists this ribosomal RNA (119 nucleotides) under Strigops habroptila (Kakapo). The record is from RNAcentral. Lineage: Eukaryota; Metazoa; Chordata; Aves; Psittaciformes; Psittacidae.